AUUGAACGCUGGCGGCAUGCUUUACACAUGCAAGUCGAACGGCAGCGCGGGCUUCGUCCUGGCGGCGAGUGGCGAACGGGGGAGUAAUGCAUCGGAACGUGCCCAGUAGUGGGGGAUAGCCCGUCGAAAGCCGGAUUAAUACCGCAUACGACCUGAGGGUGCAAGCGGGGGACCGAAAGGCCUCGCGCGAUUGGAGCGGCCGAUGUCGGAUUAGCUAGUUGGUGGGGUAAAGGCUUACCAAGGCGACGAUCCGUAGCUGGUCUGAGAGGACGGCCAGCCACACUGGGACUGAGACACGGCCCAGACUCCUACGGGAGGCAGCAGUGGGGAAUUUUGGACAAUGGGGGCAAACCUGAUCCAGCCAUGCCGCGUGCGGGAAGAAGGCCUUCGGGUUGUAAACCGCUUUUGUUCGGGAAGAAAUCCUCUGGGCUAAUACCCCGGGGGGAUGACGGUACCGGAAGAAUAAGCACCGGCUAACUACGUG
Molecule: ribosomal RNA, 484 nt
Filed under: uncultured bacterium
Lineage: Bacteria
Description: partial 16S ribosomal RNA
Rfam family: Bacterial small subunit ribosomal RNA
Source: RNAcentral